AAAAUCUUAGUUUAAAAUUUAAAAAUAACUCAUUUACAUUGAGAAGAUUAAUUAAUUUAUUAUUUUU
RNAcentral lists this transfer RNA (67 nucleotides) under Acropyga kinomurai. Its description in RNAcentral is "tRNA-Val". Lineage: Eukaryota; Metazoa; Arthropoda; Insecta; Hymenoptera; Formicidae. The record is from RNAcentral.